This 684-nucleotide ribosomal RNA is filed under the name Salmonella enterica subsp. enterica serovar Infantis. RNAcentral's name for it is "partial 23S ribosomal RNA". It matches the Rfam family "Bacterial large subunit ribosomal RNA", at positions 2259 to 2925 of the family's 2925-position model. Lineage: Bacteria; Pseudomonadati; Pseudomonadota; Gammaproteobacteria; Enterobacterales; Enterobacteriaceae. RNAcentral also lists the same sequence under 45 other names. The record is from RNAcentral.
UGGUGGGUAGUUUGACUGGGGCGGUCUCCUCCUAAAGAGUAACGGAGGAGCACGAAGGUUGGCUAAUCCUGGUCGGACAUCAGGAGGUUAGUGCAAUGGCAUAAGCCAGCUUGACUGCGAGCGUGACGGCGCGAGCAGGUGCGAAAGCAGGUCAUAGUGAUCCGGUGGUUCUGAAUGGAAGGGCCAUCGCUCAACGGAUAAAAGGUACUCCGGGGAUAACAGGCUGAUACCGCCCAAGAGUUCAUAUCGACGGCGGUGUUUGGCACCUCGAUGUCGGCUCAUCACAUCCUGGGGCUGAAGUAGGUCCCAAGGGUAUGGCUGUUCGCCAUUUAAAGUGGUACGCGAGCUGGGUUUAGAACGUCGUGAGACAGUUCGGUCCCUAUCUGCCGUGGGCGCUGGAGAACUGAGGGGGGCUGCUCCUAGUACGAGAGGACCGGAGUGGACGCAUCACUGGUGUUCGGGUUGUCAUGCCAAUGGCACUGCCCGGUAGCUAAAUGCGGAAGAGAUAAGUGCUGAAAGCAUCUAAGCACGAAACUUGCCCCGAGAUGAGUUCUCCCUGAGACUUAGAGUCUCCUGAAGGAACGUUGAAGACGACGACGUUGAUAGGCCGGGUGUGUAAGCGCAGCGAUGCGUUGAGCUAACCGGUACUAAUGAACCGUGAGGCUUAACCUUACAACGCCGAAG